Molecule: long non-coding RNA, 1246 nt
Organism: Heterocephalus glaber (naked mole-rat)
Lineage: Eukaryota; Metazoa; Chordata; Mammalia; Rodentia; Bathyergidae
Source: Ensembl
CGAGACCUAACAGUGUUGUGGAGCCCAGUUCUUUGCUUUAAUGAAAGACUGCCUUGUACAGGAUGUCACCACUGGAGAAAGACAGGUUUUUCUUCAGCUUCCCACCGCUGCCUUUGUGGCUCACCCUCUGCCUGUCUGAGAGAUCAGGAUGGAAAUGCCAGUUAGAGCCCGGAGUGCUGACCACCGCCCUCCCCUUCCUCCCAUCUCAGAAGCACCCAGCUGGCCCUGGGGCAUCAACUCAGCCACCCUGCUUUUCAAGCCAAGUAUGAGGGCCUGCAGUUUAAUUGGCAUCAUUUCAUGAUACUUUGCAGCUCGACUUCUGCAGAAUCUGACAGCAGACAGUACCUGUGGGCGUCAAUGGCCAGGGAACAUGUACAGGAGAAGGGAGAUGUCUACGGAGCUCCAAGGAGCAGGAGAUAGAUGCUCGAGGACUUGCAUCACCCUGUAACCAGCAAGACUUUUUCUCUACUUCAGAUAAAAAUGACUUUCUCCUUGACCUCACAGAUGUGCAGCAUGUCUGAUAAGACACCAGCCCAGAGGACGAGCAAAUACAACAGUGCUCUGCAUAUAAAGCUUAAUAAAGAGCUAUGCUUCCCCUAUUUUCUUCUUUUUCCUCCUCCAAGAACCCUUCUAGUACCUCAGGUGCCGUUCUACCCACACGUCCGGUCCCCAGGCCAGCCAAGUCCUUGGUGCAUUUUGUCCCCAUUGCCCUUUAUACUAGGUGCGUCAUUUGGGUGUGCCCCAGUGGCUGUGGGAAACUGAGUCAAUUUCUGGAUGCCAGCCUGGAGACCAUAGAGGACACCCAAGGAAGCUACAUCCACUCCAGAGAGGCCUGGGGUUCUGAGGUCACUAGGUGAAGCUCCUUGAGCCCUGCUCUGGGUUGAGCGGGUGUCUGGGGUGUGGUCUGGGAAGCUCCAGAUUUCGGGAGCACAGAAGUGGGAGCACAGGGCACUGGAGUGGGAAAUUGAGGCCCAGCUCCAUGAGGGAGUCUUUGGAAACCACAUAGGGUUUCUCCUCAGGGUUGGCCCUCUGAAGACAAGAGGGCUGGGCACUGUGACUGCACCAGGGUUAGCACUGACUGCACGCGUCACACGUGCUCCAGUGUCAGCCAUGCAGGCUCCCACAGCCAGAGAAGGCCGUCGGGUGGGCAAUCCUGGGCACCUGCUGAGCAGUGGUGAAAGCCAAAAGAAGAGGGGCGCCUGCUGCAAACAUCCUACUCCACAGCCUAACUGUGCCUUUUAUCAGG